GUAGAAGUAGAAAAGAGAAUAAAAAUUAACAUAAAAAUAAAAGUAGAAGUAGACAAGAUAAUAAAAACCGAGAACUUACAAUAUAAAAACAAAACAGAGUAGGAGGAGGAGUGGAGGAGAUGGGGGCCGGCCGGAGAGAGGCAGACAGCAGUGCUAGGGCAGAAAGCACAAGUGUUCGCAACGCUAGGGCAGAAAGCAGAAGAGGAAGUGUUCGCAGCAGCGCUGGGGCAGAAAGUAGAAGAGAAAGUGUUACUCUUAACCUCGAAAUUGAAAUGGAAUCCUAAAAGUGAAAUGAGAAGCAGCGCUAGGGCAGAAAGUAGAAGAGAAAGUGUUACUCUUAACCUCUAAAUUGAAAUGGAACCCUGAAAGUGAAAUGAGAAGUGGCAGAUUUUGCAGUGAAAUGAGAAUGAAACAACUUUUCACUCUUCAGCCUUUAGACAUUCUUUUGUGCAAAAACCUGCAUAAAAAAAUUGAAAUUAGAAUAAGUUAUUCUACCCUAGCUCCAUGAUAAAAAAUCAUAAAAAUAAAAUGUAAUUAAAUUGCAGUUAGGUGUUGUUUGGUGUACUAGACUACUAGUUUACCUAACAUCAUUGCUAAGUUGCUAAAUAGAAACAACUUCUAUCCUUUUUAACCGGUUAACAGAACCGAGCCAUUCAAAUUAACCAAACUGCAUAAAUCAUGUGACA
This 686-nucleotide long non-coding RNA is filed under the name Lathyrus oleraceus (garden pea). RNAcentral describes it as "Pisum sativum (pea) long non-coding RNA (PSAT_LNC003894)". The record is from RNAcentral. Lineage: Eukaryota; Viridiplantae; Streptophyta; Magnoliopsida; Fabales; Fabaceae.